This is an RNA transcript of Mugil cephalus (flathead mullet), 2840 nucleotides long. It is a transcript of the gene named tissue factor pathway inhibitor a, with no coding region annotated. The record is from RefSeq and is a predicted model, not a curated record. The transcript has 7 exons. Lineage: Eukaryota; Metazoa; Chordata; Actinopteri; Mugiliformes; Mugilidae.
ACUUGAUAAAAGUUUCAGUGAGAAACUUUACAUUCAGCGCGGAUCUGCCCCCCAGUCAUUCAGCAGCAUGUCUUCGUUCAACAAGUGGUGGAUUUGUUGCGCCGUCGCUCUCUCCUGCCUCCUCCGUUUCGGGUCUUGUAGAGCAGAUAGAGCACCACCGCCACUACCUGAGCUCUUCAUCUUCAGUGAGCAGUGUGCCCUGAAGGAAGAACCCGGGCCAUGCAAGGCCAUCAAGGACAGAUUCUUCUUCGACGUCAACACCGGAAGCUGUCAGCACUUCGAAUACGGAGGCUGUGGAGGCAACGCCAACAACUUUGAGACCUUGGAGCAGUGUGAGGAAACGUGUGUGGUUACAGUUGACAAGAACCCGUGUCAUCUGCCAGAAGCUCCGGGUCCCUGCAGAGGCCUGGUAAAACGCUACUUCUUCCACAGCGGGAGCCAGCAGUGCAAGCACUUCUUUUACGGCGGCUGCUUUGGCAACGCCAACAAUUUCAGGAGCUUGGCCGAGUGUCAGGCGAAAUGUCUGAAUGCAGGAAAAACAACUGCAGCACCUGAAGUCCGCACACAGUCUGCAAGAAAAGCUACUGUGCAGCCAACCAUAUUAACUGGGGAACUGACUGUGAAUGAGCCUCAGGUGCAACUGAAUGUCUCUAGUCAAGAUAAACCAGAGUGGUGCUUCAGUCCUGUGGAAGUUGGAACAUGUGACAGGACGGAGCGGAGGUUCGCAUACAACCCGAGCACCAAGAGAUGCCAGAUGUUUACCUACAGUGGCUGCGGAGGAAACAAGAACAACUUCAAAUCCCGAAAACACUGCGUUCACAAGUGCAAGGGUACGAGUAUCUAAAGACGUCACCUCCAAAGCCCCCGUUCCCUGUUGGAAAAAGAAAACGUAUGAUUGUUUAAUCAGACUCAUGGGAAGAUGAUCCGAAUAAAGAAGAAGAACCUCGGCAGCCUUCUUAACCGCUUGGUCUGAACACGAGAUGCUUCUCUGCCUCACAGUCGUCUGUAUUUAUGUCGAUAGUUUCUCUCUAGCUUUCCUCAUGUCUCCUGUUUCAUAGGGCUGCAGGACAUCGCAAGUCAAGUCUGACACAAUCUGUGUCUUAAUUUUCCUUCACAAUACGUUGAACUGACGUUCAGUGGCAGAAAAAGAAAUUAUAUUGAAACAUCUGGUUGUUCUGGUGCACCACGCUAAGCUGCACUGUACAAAACCUGGCAUUUCACAAGCAAAUACACAUGCAUGCGUGUUUAAAAUAAAUAUGCAAAUGACGAGUUAAAUUUGAAUAACAGAAAAAGUUUCAAAAUUCUUGUUUCAUUUUGUUAACGUAUUAGAUUUCCAGAGGGGAUUUUCCCUUUUUUUCGAAGUAAAAUGUUCUAUAUAUCAGGCUCUGAAUGAUACAUUAUGAAUCCUCUCUUAAAUACCUGCAGAAUGUGGUUAGGAAUAAAUCUGGAAGGUUUGGUUUGUGUAAGAGCUACUGAAGAGGAGAUCUCUGGGUCAGAGUAGCAGAAACUCAUUUUGAGAACACAGUAAAGUUUUACACAGUUACACAUUGUAAAAUAUUUUGACUGGAAAACACUAUGAACCGAAACCAAAUCUACUCAAAUCCUUCAAAACACGUCAUAUAAUCAUAUAACAAAAUCAAAUUCAAAAAUAACAGAUUAACUGUUCAGUAAACAUGAACGAUGAUCCACUGAUCGUCUCCUUUUACCAAAGACAGUUCACAGCCAGAUGAACUCAGAGGAGUCUGACUUAAACACACAUGCAUGUUUAAAAUGAGACCAGAUGAGGAUGAGUCUCUGCCUUCAUGGCCACAUUCAUCAUCAUGUAUGACGAGGAGUCAAAGAUCAAAUCGACCCAAAGGUAGAGGACAUGAAACGAUCAGCAUCAUAUUCUGGCUCUUAAUACUGUAAGUCACCUCAUAAGUAAUGUCUAAAGACCUGAGUGUAAGAAGAGAAGAAAGUAAUGUUUGGGAAGAUAAGUGCUAACAGCUUAUCUCAAAGAAGAACAACUCCAGGAAGGUUUGAAUUUGUCUUCCUUCAUGUUUUCAUCUAACUCCGUGGAUUAUGGAGUUUUCAGUUUCUAUCUACUCCAGAGAUCAGGAACGGGAACAUUUGAACCCCAGAUGCCAACUUCAGUUAAUGACUUUCUAAAUUGCUUGUGAAAGUGCAGGUGAGGAACGUUGUCUGUCUCCUGAUGCCUGAUGUUCUCAGGACGACUUGUUGUGAAGAAACGCUGUAAAUUGAGGCUCGUGUUGUGUGAGAUGUCGGUCCUUGUGUAGAAAAUAUUUUUCAUGUAUCUGAAAUAACGUUGUUUCUAACUCGAUCAUUGUGCUGCAUGUGUUGUUUCGAUAUCUCACAGACAAAAAGCACAUUUGUUUUGCCAGUGUCUAACACAGCAGCUCUCUGCAGUGAUCAUUUUUAUGUCACUUACUUUGUACACAUAUAUUUUAUCUUUUUUUCAUUUUACUCUUUCCCUGCAAUACUCUGUGAAAUGAAUGCUUUUACGGUGACUGGUGAUUUACUACUAUAGUUUUUAAUCAAUAUGAGCGUCAGCAGAUUAAAUCAAUCAUUAUUCUAGUAUUAAUGACAACAAUUAGCCUAUAAGCAAAGGUACAGCUGUGAAUCUAUUUUACAGUUUUUGGGGGUCGAUAUUGUGCGGUUCAAUAAAUGUAAAGUCUUUUCAGUUUUACUGUUGGUGGAAAAAAACACACACAAGGGGGCGGUGUUGCAUAAAGAUUGUGUUCCUCUUGGCUGUGUUUGCUUUGCUGUCUCGUUUUAUAAUCAUGGCUGUAAUGGAUUGGACUGUAAAGGUUUAUGUAAUAAAAUUCAACAACAUCAUUUUA